Homo sapiens (human) is the source of this 1908-nucleotide long non-coding RNA. Ensembl annotates it as MIR646 host gene. Its record names the gene MIR646HG. NCBI's taxonomy places the organism in Eukaryota, Metazoa, Chordata, Mammalia, Primates, Hominidae. The record is from Ensembl.
AGAUGCUCCCAGGCUCUCCCGCAGUUUAAAGACUUAACUCAGCGGCUUUCAGGGCCUGUGGUUGAGGGACUCCGAAAGAACUGUUGCUGGUGGACCGGUUCAGGGUCUUGACUUCGCCACACAAAAGAACUUGAGAGCACGUCCAAAGUAAAGCUAAGACCUCUAGUACAGUGUUCAAUGGAACUGGUGAGAAAAGACGUCCUUGCUGUGUUCCUGAUAUGAAGAGGAAAGCAGUCCUUCUCCAUUAAGUAAAAUGCUGACAACAUGAGCCUCCCGUGGUCGGAACGGGCUUGUGAAGGCGGUGCUGGGGUGCACCAGGGCAGCAGCUACAGCAUUUACUGUCUGGGUCAAAGAGGAUGUGUCCUAAAAGGAGAAUGAGAAAUAAAACCCAGAAGGAGAAAGAAAACGUGGAGAAUAUUGCUGAUUGCAGCCAAGGGAAGAGAAUGUUUCCAGAAGGAGGUUACCACUGCGAGGUCAAGUAAGGGACUGGAGAAUGCUUCUGUAUCUUGGCAGGAGUAACGCGAAUAAAAAGCAAUGGGACAGACACUUUGGAAGACAGUUUGGCAGUUUCUUACAAAAGAAGAAAUUGGCCCAAUGUGACAGUCAUGUCCUACUACUUGGCACUUGUAUUCCUUGGUAUUUGCACAAUUGAUUUGAAAGCUUAUAUCCACACAGAAACGUGCACACAAAUGAUUAUAACAACUUUAUUAAUAAUUGCCAAAAACAGAAAGAAAGCAAGUUGUUCUUCAGUAGGUGAAUGAACAAAAAAUUGUACUACAUUCGUACAAUGGAGUCUUAUUCAUCCUUAAGAUGAAAUGAGCUAUCAAGCUAUAAAAAACAUUGGGGGGGGGGAUCAUAGAUGCAUAUUGCUAGGUGAAAUAAGUCAGUCUAAAAAGCCUACAUACUAUAUGAUUCCAACCAUAUGACAUUCUAAAAUAGGAAGAACAAUGGAGAUAGUAAAAAGGAUAGUAGAUGCUGGGGGCCAGGGGGCAGUAUGAAGAGAGAAGAUGAGUAAGUGGAACGUAGGGGAUUUUUAGGGAAGUAAAAUUAUUUUGUAUAAUACUGUGAUGGUGAAUACCUGAUAUUAUGCAUCUGACAUCAUGCAGUGGGCAUAUAGAAGCCCAUCAACAAUACAAUACAAAUGGUAAACCUUAGUGUAAACUAUAGACUUUAGGCAACACUAAUAAUGUAUAAAUAUUGGUUCACCAAUUGUAACAAAACUACCACAGUGAUGCAAUAAGUUUAUAUUUGUGGAAACUAUGUGAGAAGAGGGAGGAGGAGUAUAUGGGAACUCUCUGUACUUUUAUGUUCUAUUUUCAUAUAAACUGAAAACUGCUCUAAAAAAUAAAUCCUACUAAGUAAAAACAUAAAAAGGAAACAUGGAGCAAUGAGAAAUCCAUAGAGGUUUUGAAAAGCUCUGAAAGUAUUCCUGGAAAAAUAGAGGACCAUGCACAUACAUAGAGCAUGAACAUGUUCAGGAAAGACCUAAAAAGACCCUAAGGUCUCACUUCUGGCUGAUCUUGAGAAUAUGUGUGACAGCAAGUGAAGGCUAAGGCAGAGUUGUUAAUUACCUGGCUGAGUGUUGAAGGCAUACCCCUACAAGUAAACAGUGGCUCUCAGCAACACUUAGAGAUAUAUUGACUCCAUCUAUUUAAAUAUGUCUAUGUCCAGUAGUUAGCUAACCACUAAAGACUUCGGUGAUCAAACACAACAAUGAAUACAGACUGUUCAGAAUUAGUUCAGAAAAGUCACUAAACUAAACAAACAAAAAAAACAAACCCAGCAACUACAAUAAGCAGCAAUUGCAGACCCUGGGGACAGAAGAGGGCAAAGAGAGAAUCUGAUAUCUACUAUUGCUACAUUAUAUUAUUUAAACAUCAAGUUUUAAAAAAAUAAGAGAAAAAAGAA